Molecule: small nuclear RNA, 114 nt
Filed under: Nannospalax galili (Upper Galilee mountains blind mole rat)
Lineage: Eukaryota; Metazoa; Chordata; Mammalia; Rodentia; Spalacidae
Description: U1 spliceosomal RNA (ENSNGAG00000004526.1)
Rfam family: U1 spliceosomal RNA
About the family: U1 is a small nuclear RNA (snRNA) component of the spliceosome (involved in pre-mRNA splicing).
Source: RNAcentral
AAGGUUUCCUGGUAGUUAAUCAGUUUGUGAAAUGACCCCUGCAAUUUCUCCAAAUGCGGGAAACUUGACUGCAUGAUUUGUGGUAGUGGGGGAUUUUGUUUGUACUCCCUCCUU